RNAcentral lists this ribosomal RNA (504 nucleotides) under Candidatus Portiera aleyrodidarum (primary endosymbiont of Bemisia tabaci). Its description in RNAcentral is "bacterial SSU rRNA". It matches the Rfam family "Bacterial small subunit ribosomal RNA", at positions 540 to 1043 of the family's 1533-position model. Lineage: Bacteria; Pseudomonadati; Pseudomonadota; Gammaproteobacteria; Johnevansiales (SeqCode); Johnevansiaceae (SeqCode). The record is from RNAcentral.
GUUAAUCGGAAUUACUGGGCGUAAAGGGCAUGUAGGUGGUUUGUUAAGCCUUAUGUGAAAGCCCUAGGCUUAACCUAGGAAUUGUAUAAGGAACUGACAAGCUAGAGUGCAGUAGAGGAAGGUAGAAUUCCAGGUGUAGCGGUGAAAUGCGUAGAUAUCUGGAGGAAUACCAGUGGCGAAGGCGACCUUCUGGACUGACACUGACGCUGAGGUGCGAAAGCGUGGGUAGCAAACAGGAUUAGAUACCCUGGUAGUCCACGCUGUAAACGAUAUCAACUAGCCGUUGGGUUAUUAAAUAAUUUGGUGGCGUAGCUAACGCGAUAAGUUGAUCGCCUGGGGAGUACGGCCGCAAGGCUAAAACUCAAAUGAAUUGACGGGGGCCCGCACAAGCGGUGGAGCAUGUGGUUUAAUUCGAUGCAACGCGAAGAACCUUACCUACUCUUGACAUCCAAAGUACUUUCCAGAGAUGGAAGGGUGCCUUAGGGAACUUUGAGACAGGUGCUG